GCAGUGCUCCUGCAGCGUGUGCGUGGCCUCCCUACCCGGCCAGGGCAGGAUUGGGGCCCAGAGCCCCUCUCCCAGCCGCCGGGCGCCGCCCUGAAGAAGCCUGGCGGUUCUGGGAGACGCCCACGGUGGCACUUUGCAUCUACACGGCACAGUGGGGAGCACUGAGGGAUGCUACAAAAACAAGACCUUGCGUCAGGAGGGUUUUUUCCCCGCCCCAGUCGAAGUAGCAUUGCUUUACAACAGUGUGUAAGUGUCAGGUGUGCGUCCUUGAAAAUCGUGUGUGUAGAUGCUACGUUAACUUCCCAUGCAGUUGUCUCCUUUUAUUUACCUGGUAUACCCACUUCGCUUCUGGUAACCAUUCAUUGGUUUUAGAAUCUAAAAAUUUAUUUUUGUUUUAUGUAGCUCAUCCGUUUGUUUUCUCUACGGGUACAGAGGGGUGGAUGCUGAGAUAAGAGACCUCUGGAGAUGCUCCAACUCCCGAUCUGUUUGCCCUCUCAGCUAAGCAGACUUUUGAUGAACUGUGUCAAUAUAAUUUGGUAACAGCAUCUGAAAGGUCUUUGCAGGGGCUACUUCUCCUUGGAACAUUGAUUCUCUCUCCAUCUCUGCCUCCUCAAGAUCUGUGUUCAGGCCUCUGACUAAGAGAGUUGGUGUUCAGUCAUGCCACGACUUGUGUGACCCAAGUCCGGAACUUUCCUCCAGCUGGGUUCUGAUCACCAAUUACAAUGUGUGUUUAUGUCUGGACACAAGCUGGGAGUCCUAUAAUUCAACUCAGGUCUGACACUAUUUACCUGAAGAUAACAUCAAAUUCCACAGGGAUCUUUGAUUCAACUCUGAAGCCUGCAUCUCUGAAGCCACAUCUCCUCACACUUCCUUUCAAGUAAGGGAGGGCUGGAGUUGCUAUACUGCUGACAAACUUCAUGAUCCAAGAAAAACUGAAGACCCCAGAAAAUCUUAAAAAGUGAUUGCUGGACAGGACUGGGCAUAGCACAUCCUGGGCCAGUGGCAGGAUGGAGGUGGAGCAGGCUGUGGUCCUGUCUAGCCUGUUUGCAGAAGGGUAGGGUUCUGAAUCUGGCA
Molecule: long non-coding RNA, 1074 nt
Organism: Talpa occidentalis (Iberian mole)
Lineage: Eukaryota; Metazoa; Chordata; Mammalia; Eulipotyphla; Talpidae
Exons: 6
Source: RefSeq, a predicted model, not a curated record